This 241-nucleotide unclassified non-coding RNA is filed under the name Hevea brasiliensis (rubber tree). Lineage: Eukaryota; Viridiplantae; Streptophyta; Magnoliopsida; Malpighiales; Euphorbiaceae. The record is from RNAcentral.
CGCGUGAUCGAGUCGAGCAGAAUGACCACGUCGCGGCCGUGUUCGACCAGACGCUUGGCCUUCUCGAUCACCAUCUCGGCGACCUGAACGUGACGCACCGCCGGCUCGUCGAAGGUCGAGGACACAACUUCACCCUUCACCGAACGCUGCAUGUCGGUGACUUCUUCCGGACGUUCGUCGAUCAGAAGAACGAUCAGAUAGCAUUCCGGAUGAUUGGCGGUGAUCGAGUGUGCGAUGUUCU